Molecule: ribosomal RNA, 705 nt
Filed under: uncultured Erwinia sp.
Lineage: Bacteria; Pseudomonadati; Pseudomonadota; Gammaproteobacteria; Enterobacterales; Erwiniaceae
Description: bacterial SSU rRNA
Rfam family: Bacterial small subunit ribosomal RNA
Source: RNAcentral
CGAUGUCGACUUGGAGGUUGUGCCCUGAGGCGUGGCUUCCGGAGCUAACGCGUUAAGUCGACCGCUGGGGAGUACGGCCGCAAGGUUAAAACUCAAAUGAAUUGACGGGGGCCCGCACAGCGGUGGAGCAUGUGGUUUAUUUCGAUGCAACGCGAAGAACCUUACCUGGCCUUGACAUCCACGGAAUUUGGCAGAGAUGCCUUAGUGCCUUCGGGAACCGUGAGACAGGUGCUGCAUGGCUGUCGUCAGCUCGUGUUGUGAAAUGUUGGGUUAAGUCCCGCAACGAGCGCAACCCUUAUCCUUUGUUGCCAGCGAUACGGUCGGGAACUCAAAGGAGACUGCCGGUGAUAAACCGGAGGAAGGUGGGGAUGACGUCAAGUCAUCAUGGCCCUUACGGCCAGGGCUACACACGUGCUACAAUGGCGCAUACAAAGAGAAGCGACCUCGCGAGAGCAAGCGGACCUCAUAAAGUGCGUCGUAGUCCGGAUCGGAGUCUGCAACUCGACUCCGUGAAGUCGGAAUCGCUAGUAAUCGUAGAUCAGAAUGCUACGGUGAAUACGUUCCCGGGCCUUGUACACACCGCCCGUCACACCAUGGGAGUGGGUUGCAAAAGAAGUAGGUAGCUUAACCUUCGGGAGGGCGCUUACCACUUUGUGAUUCAUGACUGGGGUGAAGUCGUAACAAGGUAACCAAGGGCGAAUUCUG